GUGCUCACUUUGGCAGCACAUAUACUAAAAUUGGAAUGAUACAGAGAAGAUAAACAUCACCCCUGCACAAGGAUGACAUGCAAAUUUGUGAAACAUUCCAUAUUUUU
Molecule: small nuclear RNA, 107 nt
Filed under: Pteropus vampyrus (large flying fox)
Lineage: Eukaryota; Metazoa; Chordata; Mammalia; Chiroptera; Pteropodidae
Source: RNAcentral